RNAcentral lists this ribosomal RNA (466 nucleotides) under uncultured bacterium. Its description in RNAcentral is "bacterial SSU rRNA". It matches the Rfam family "Bacterial small subunit ribosomal RNA", at positions 28 to 523 of the family's 1533-position model. The record is from RNAcentral.
GAUGAAUGCUGGCGGCGUGCCUAAUACAUGCAAGUCGAGCGGCAGCGCGUCUAGUUUACUAGAUGGCGGCGAGCGGCGGACGGCUGAGUAACGCGUAGGAAUGUGCCCCAAAGUGAGGAAUAACUGCCCGAAAGGGUAGCUAAUGCCGCAUAUGGUCUUCGGAUUAAAGGAUUUAUCCGCUUUGGGAGCAGCCUGCGUACGAUUAGAUAGUUGGUGAGGUAAUGGCUCACCAAGUCGACGAUCGUUAGCUGGUCUGAGAGGAUGAUCAGCCAGACUGGAACUGAGACACGGUCCAGACUCCUACGGGAGGCAGCAGUAAGGAAUCUUCCACAAUGGGCGAAAGCCUGAUGGAGCAACGCCGCGUGCAGGAUGAAGGCCUUCGGGUUGUAAACGUGCUUUAUGAGUGAAGAAUAUGACGGUAAUCAUGAAUAGCACCGGCUAAACUACGUGCCAGCAGCCGCGGUAA